UGGUCAUAGUAUCUACAUUCUCGACAGAGAGAGACUCCCUUGCAAGGGAAAUAGAAUUUCUCUCUGGCCUUCGUAUACUUCCAAGGAGUGGUGCUCCUCUCCAAAUGAUGAUUCAGGUCAUCCUCUCUGAUAUAUUGUCGUAAGAAAACCAGUCUCCAUCUUCUGAAGAGUGAACAGAAAGAGGAAUGUCGUGACGCCCUGCUGGUACAGUGUCCUCAUUACUUUUCUAUUGCUGUGACAGAACAACAAGACCGAGG
Peromyscus maniculatus bairdii (prairie deer mouse) is the source of this 257-nucleotide non-coding RNA. The record is from RefSeq and is a predicted model, not a curated record. Lineage: Eukaryota; Metazoa; Chordata; Mammalia; Rodentia; Cricetidae.